GGCGAAGUGCCAGAGUGGUUAAUGGGUGUGCCUCGAACUACAUCAUCUUCUGAUGAUGCUUCUAGCACAUGACUUCGGUCGCGCAAGUUCGAAUCUUGUCUUCGUCG
This is a non-coding RNA of Colletotrichum salicis, 107 nucleotides long. The record is from Rfam. Lineage: Eukaryota; Fungi; Ascomycota; Sordariomycetes; Glomerellales; Glomerellaceae.